UGGGGAAUCUUGCACAAUGGGCGAAAGCCUGAUGCGGCAACGCCGCGUGCGGGAAGAAGGCCCUAGGGUUGUAAACCGCUUUCAGCAGGGAAGGAAAUGACGGUACCUGUAGAAGAAGGUGCGGCCAACUACGUGCCAGCAGCCGCGGUGACACGUAGGCACCAAGCGUUGUCCGGAUUUAUUGGGCGUAAAGAGCUCGUAGGCGGUUCGGUAAGUCGGGUGUGAAAACUCUGGGCUCAACCCAGAGACGCCACCCGAUACUGCUGUGACUAGAGUGCGGUAGGGGAGCGGGGAAUUCCUGGUGUAGCGGUGAAAUGCGCAGAUAUCAGGAGGAACACCAGUGGCGAAGGCGCCGCUCUGGGCCGUGACUGACGCUGAGGAGCGAAAGCGUGGGUAGCAAACAGGAUUAGAUACCCUGGUAGUCCACGCCGUAAACGUUGGGCACUAGGUGUGGGUCUCAACCAACGAGAUCCGCGCCGUCGCUAACGCAUUAAGUGCCCCGCCUGGGGAGUACGGUCGCAAGACUAA
RNAcentral lists this ribosomal RNA (528 nucleotides) under uncultured Ilumatobacter sp. RNAcentral describes it as "bacterial SSU rRNA". It matches the Rfam family "Bacterial small subunit ribosomal RNA", at positions 355 to 897 of the family's 1533-position model. The record is from RNAcentral. Lineage: Bacteria; Bacillati; Actinomycetota; Acidimicrobiia; Acidimicrobiales; Ilumatobacteraceae.